This 425-nucleotide ribosomal RNA is filed under the name uncultured bacterium. RNAcentral's name for it is "partial 16S ribosomal RNA". It matches the Rfam family "Bacterial small subunit ribosomal RNA", at positions 354 to 796 of the family's 1533-position model. The record is from RNAcentral.
GUGGGGAAUCUUGCGCAAUGGGCGAAAGCCUGACGCAGCCAUGCCGCGUGAAUGAUGAAGGUCUUAGGAUUGUAAAAUUCUUUCACCGGGGACGAUAAUGACGGUACCCGGAGAAGAAGCUCCGGCUAACUUCGUGCCAGCAGCCGCGGUAAUACGAAGGGGGCUAGCGUUGCUCGGAAUUACUGGGCGUAAAGGGCGCGUAGGCGGACAGCUUAGUCAGAGGUGAAAGCCCAGGGCUCAACCUUGGAAUUGCCUUUGAUACUGGCUGUCUUGAGUUUGGGAGAGGUGAGUGGAACUCCGAGUGUAGAGGUGAAAUUCGUAGAUAUUCGGAAGAACACCAGUGGCGAAGGCGACAUACUGGCUCAUUACUGACGCUGAGGCGCGAAAGCGUGGGGAGCAAACAGGAUUAGAUACCCCAGUAGUCC